UCCACACUGUCCGCAACGUGUAUCUCUGCCCAUGGCUGCAGCUGGGUGGAUACAGUUUGGGCCUGAUUGGUGAUUGUCACGUUAAAGAUCCCAUAGCUACGUCUUAGAUCCACCGUCCACCACGGCUGGUACUCGUAGCUGGUUUUACUGCAGGAUCCCUUCAAGUAAUCCGGGUUGGUGUCCCCAUCUAUUGAGUGAUAUAGAUGGGGACAAAAAUAGCUGAGCUGGAAACAUAGCGGAGUUGGAGAGUUUUUUCACUUCGGUUAUUUUUAUUGAAAAUGUAAAUUUACUUUGAAUUCCUG
Molecule: non-coding RNA, 302 nt
Organism: Pelobates cultripes (western spadefoot toad)
Lineage: Eukaryota; Metazoa; Chordata; Amphibia; Anura; Pelobatidae
Source: the annotation of a GenBank genome assembly